CGUGUUUGUAUCUGUUCUCCUUAGGGAAUGCCUGAACAGUUCUAUUGACUCAAAGUAAAGAUCAAAAGAACCAAAUGCCAGCAACAGCCAAAUUAAUCAUCAGUAACCCUGUGUUCUAUCCACAGUCGAAAUCUUUCC
RNAcentral lists this long non-coding RNA (138 nucleotides) under Callithrix jacchus (white-tufted-ear marmoset). Its description in RNAcentral is "lncRNA (ENSCJAG00000072608.1)". Lineage: Eukaryota; Metazoa; Chordata; Mammalia; Primates; Cebidae. The record is from RNAcentral.